RNAcentral lists this non-coding RNA (29 nucleotides) under Homo sapiens (human). The record is from RNAcentral. Lineage: Eukaryota; Metazoa; Chordata; Mammalia; Primates; Hominidae.
UGCCAUUCUCAGAUUCCACGCAUAUGGCC